AAUCAACGCUGGCGGCGUGCCUCAGACAUGCAAGUCGAACGAUUAAAGCUCCCGUUCGGGGAGUGCAUAGAGUGGCGCACGGGUGAGUAACACGUAAGUAAUCUACCUUUGAGUGGGGAAUAACGUUCGGAAACGGACGCUAAUACCGCAUAAUGCAGCGGCAUCGCAAGAUGACAGUUUGUUAAAGGAGCAAUCCGACUUAAAGAGGAGCUUGCGGCAGAUUAGCUUGUUGGUAAGGUAACGGCUUACCAAGGCUACGAUCUGUAUCCGGUCUAAGA
RNAcentral lists this ribosomal RNA (278 nucleotides) under uncultured bacterium. RNAcentral describes it as "partial 16S ribosomal RNA". It matches the Rfam family "Bacterial small subunit ribosomal RNA", at positions 32 to 297 of the family's 1533-position model. The record is from RNAcentral.